Molecule: ribosomal RNA, 368 nt
Filed under: uncultured organism
Description: bacterial SSU rRNA
Rfam family: Bacterial small subunit ribosomal RNA
Source: RNAcentral
CGUAGGUGGCAAGCGUUGUCCGGAUUUAUUGGGUUUAAAGGGUGCGUAGGCGGUCCUAUAAGUCAGUUGUGAAAUACGGCAGCUUAACUGUCGAGGUGCAAUUGAUACUGCAGGACUUGAGUACAGACGAGGUAGGCGGAAUUGACGGUGUAGCGGUGAAAUGCUUAGAUAUCGUCAAGAACACCGAUAGCGAAGGCAGCUUACUAGACUGUAACUGACGCUGAUGCACGAAAGUGUGGGGAUCAAACAGGAUUAGAUACCCUGGUAGUCCACACUGUAAACGAUGAUUACUCGAUGUUGGCGAUACACAGCCAGCGUCUUAGCAAAAGCGAUAAGUAAUCCACCUGGGGAGUACGCCGGCAACGGUG